CUCGUAGGCGGUUUGUCGCGUCGGGAGUGAAAUCAUCUGGCUUAACUGGGUGCUUGCUUUCGAUACGGGCAGACUAGAGGUAUGCAGGGGAGAACGGAAUUCCUGGUGUAGCGGUGAAAUGCGCAGAUAUCAGGAGGAACACCGGUGGCGAAGGCGGUUCUCUGGGCAUGAUCUGACGCUGAGGAGCGAAAGUGUGGGAGCGAACA
RNAcentral lists this ribosomal RNA (206 nucleotides) under uncultured bacterium. RNAcentral's name for it is "partial 16S ribosomal RNA". It matches the Rfam family "Bacterial small subunit ribosomal RNA", at positions 568 to 774 of the family's 1533-position model. The record is from RNAcentral.